ACCUGACGCAGCGACGCCGCGUGGUGAUGAAGGCCUUCGGGUCGUAAAGCCCUGUCAAGAGGGACGAAACCUCGUCGACCUAACACGUCGGCGACCUGACGGUACCUCUGAAGGAAGCACCGGCUAACUCCGUGCCAGCAGCCGCGGUAAUACGGAGGGUGCAAGCGUUGUUCGGAGUCACUGGGCGUAAAGCGCGUGUAGGCGGCCUCCUCAGUCUGGUGUGAAAGCCCGGGGCUCACCCCCCGGAAGUGCAUUGGAUACUGGGAGGCUGGAGUACCGGAGAGGAGGGUGGAAUUCCUGGUGUAGCGGUGAAAUGCGUAGAUAUCAGGAGGAACACCGGUGGCGAAGGCGGCCCUCUGGACGGAUACUGACGCUGAGACGCGACAGCGUGGGGAGCAAACAGGAUUAGAUACCCUGGUAGUCCACGCCGUAAACGAUGGGUACUAGGUGUUCGGGGUAUUGACCCCCUGAGUGCCGCAGCUAACGCAUUAAGUACCCCGCCUGGGGACUACGGCCGCAAGGCUA
RNAcentral lists this ribosomal RNA (525 nucleotides) under uncultured Pseudomonadota bacterium. RNAcentral describes it as "bacterial SSU rRNA". It matches the Rfam family "Bacterial small subunit ribosomal RNA", at positions 381 to 896 of the family's 1533-position model. The record is from RNAcentral. Lineage: Bacteria; Pseudomonadati; Pseudomonadota.